GGAGAGAUGGCCGAGCGGUCUAAGGCGACGGUCUUGAAAACCGUUUGGGCGCAAGCCCACGGGGGUUCGAAUCCCUCUCUCUCCGCCA
This 88-nucleotide transfer RNA is filed under the name Planctomycetota bacterium. Its description in RNAcentral is "tRNA-Ser". It matches the Rfam family "tRNA". From Rfam's summary of the family: Transfer RNA (tRNA) molecules are approximately 80 nucleotides in length. Their secondary structure includes four short double-helical elements and three loops (D, anti-codon, and T loops). The record is from RNAcentral. Lineage: Bacteria; Pseudomonadati; Planctomycetota.